GCCGAGGUGGCGGAAUUGGUAGACGCGCUAGCUUGAGGGGCUAGUGACCGCUUAGGUCGUGUGGGUUCAAGUCCCAUCCUCGGCACCA
RNAcentral lists this transfer RNA (88 nucleotides) under Trueperaceae bacterium. RNAcentral describes it as "tRNA-Leu". It matches the Rfam family "tRNA". Rfam says of the family: Transfer RNA (tRNA) molecules are approximately 80 nucleotides in length. RNAcentral also lists the same sequence under 1 other name. Lineage: Bacteria; Thermotogati; Deinococcota; Deinococci; Trueperales; Trueperaceae. The record is from RNAcentral.